Molecule: ribosomal RNA, 274 nt
Filed under: uncultured bacterium
Lineage: Bacteria
Description: partial 16S ribosomal RNA
Rfam family: Bacterial small subunit ribosomal RNA
Source: RNAcentral
CUACGGAGGGGGCUAGCGUUGUUCGGAAUUACUGGGCGUAAAGCGUACGUAGGCGGACUGAUCAGUUGGGGGUGAAAUCCCAGGGCUUAACCCUGGAACUGCCUUCAAUACUGUCAGUCUUGAGAUUGGAAGAGGUGAGUGGAAUUCCUAGUGUAGAGGUGAAAUUCAUAGAUAUUAGGAGGAACACCAGUGGCGAAGGCGGCUCACUGGUCCAAUACUGACGCUGAGGUACGAAAGCGUGGGGAGCAAACAGGAGUAGAAACCCUUGUAGUCC